This 253-nucleotide ribosomal RNA is filed under the name uncultured bacterium. RNAcentral describes it as "partial 16S ribosomal RNA". It matches the Rfam family "Bacterial small subunit ribosomal RNA", at positions 524 to 776 of the family's 1533-position model. The record is from RNAcentral.
UACGAAGGGGGCUAGCGUUGCUCGGAAUCACUGGGCGUAAAGCGCACGUAGGCGGAUUUUUAAGUCAGGGGUGAAAUCCUGGAGCUCAACUCCAGAACUGCCUUUGAUACUGGGAAUCUCGAGUCCGGAAGAGGUGAGUGGAACUGCGAGUGUAGAGGUGAAAUUCGUAGAUAUUCGCAAGAACACCAGUGGCGAAGGCGGCUCACUGGACUGGUAUUGACGCUGAGGUGCGAAAGCGUGGGGAGCAAACAGG